This 496-nucleotide ribosomal RNA is filed under the name uncultured bacterium. Its description in RNAcentral is "partial 16S ribosomal RNA". It matches the Rfam family "Bacterial small subunit ribosomal RNA", at positions 28 to 506 of the family's 1533-position model. The record is from RNAcentral.
GAUGAACGCUGGCGGCGUGCCUAAUACAUGCAAGUCGAGCGAACAGAUGAGGAGCUUGCUCCUCUGACGUUAGCGGCGGACGGGUGAGUAACACGUGGAUAACCUACCUAUAAGACUGGGAUAACUUCGGGAAACCGGAGCUAAUACCGGAUAAUAUAUUGAACCGCAUGGUUCAAUAGUGAAAGACGGUUUUGCUGUCACUUAUAGAUGGAUCCGCGCCGCAUUAGCUAGUUGGUAAGGUAACGGCUUACCAAGGCAACGAUGCGUAGCCGACCUGAGAGGGUGAUCGGCCACACGGGAACUGAGACACGGUCCAGACUCCUACGGGAGGCAGCAGUAGGGAAUCUGCCGCAAUGGGCGAAAGCCUGACGGAGCAACGCCGCGUGAGUGAUGAAGGUCUUCGGAUCGUAAAACUCUGUUAUUAGGGAAGAACAAAUGUGUAAGUAACUAUGCACGUCUUGACGGUACCUAAUCAGAAAGCCACGGCUAACUACGU